This 490-nucleotide ribosomal RNA is filed under the name uncultured bacterium. RNAcentral's name for it is "partial 16S ribosomal RNA". It matches the Rfam family "Bacterial small subunit ribosomal RNA", at positions 30 to 507 of the family's 1533-position model. The record is from RNAcentral.
AUUGAACGCUGGCGGCAGGCCUAACACAUGCAAGUCGAAUGGUAACACGAAACACCUUGCUGUUUCGCUGUCGAGUGGCGGACGGGUGAGUAAUGUCUGGGAAACUGCUUGAUGGAUGGGGAUAACUACUGGAAACGGUAGCUAAUACCGCAUAACUUCGCAAGACCAAAGAGGGGGACCUUCGGGCCUCUUGCCAUCAGCUUUGCCCAGAUGGGAUUAGCUAGUAGGUGGGGUAACGGCUCACCUAGGCCACGAUCACUAGCUGGUCUGAGAGGGUGACCGGCCACACUGGAACUGAGACACGGUCCAGACUCCUACGGGAGGCAGCAGUGGGGAAUAUUGCGCAAUGGGCGAAAGCCUGAUGCAGCCAUGCCGCGUGUAUGAAGAAGGCCUUCGGAUUGUAAAGUACUUUCAGCGGGGAGGAAGGGAGUAAAGUUAAUACCUUUGCUCAUUGACGUUACCCGCAGAAGAAGCACCGGCUAACUACGUG